Molecule: ribosomal RNA, 726 nt
Filed under: Analges oscinum
Lineage: Eukaryota; Metazoa; Arthropoda; Arachnida; Sarcoptiformes; Analgidae
Description: partial large subunit ribosomal RNA
Source: RNAcentral
GAUUCUAUAGAUAUUUUUAGAUAUUGAAAUUAUUUAAAAUAUUUAUAGGGAGUUACACGUUAUCGUUUCUUAGGUUAUCUAGUUGAAUGAAUUUAAAGGGAAACCUUUUUAGAGGAUUUUUUUUGUAAAAAUAUGGUUAUUUUCUUAAUAGUAGGAAAUUGUGUAAUAACAUAAUUUUAUAAAUGAGGGAUCCUUUCUAUUUUUAAGAAUUUAUUUUAAUUAAUUAGUGGAUUAGUAGAAAAGAAUUUAUUUAUUGAAAUUUUAUAUUAUUUUUAUUUUUAAAAGUUAUUUUUGUUUACUGAUUUUUUCUUAGACUGGUUAAUAAAAUCUUAGCUAUAAUAAUUAUAGUUAUUUCUGCCCUAUGCGAUUCUAGGUAAAUGGCUGUCUUGUGACACUAAGGUAGCAUAAUCAUUAGUUAUUUAAUUGAUAACUUGGAUGAAUGAAUUUUCUAGGAAGAUAUUAUUUUUUUUUUUUAAAUUUAUAUUUUUGUUGAAAAUAACAAUAUUUCCUAUAAGACUAAAAGACCCUAAAAUUUUUAUAACUGAGAAGUUAUUUGGUUGGGGAAAUAAAAAGAAAUAAAUAAUAAAUAAUUUAUUUUUCUUUGAACUUUUAAUAAAGAUAAAAGGUAAAAUACUUUAGGGAUAACAGCUUAAUUAUUUUUAAGAGUUCUUAUUAUUAAAAUAGUUUUAGACCUCGAUGUUGGAUUGAGGGUUCUUUUUGGGGCAG